Molecule: ribosomal RNA, 484 nt
Filed under: uncultured bacterium
Lineage: Bacteria
Description: partial 16S ribosomal RNA
Rfam family: Bacterial small subunit ribosomal RNA
Source: RNAcentral
AUUGAACGCUAGCGGGAUGCUUUACACAUGCAAGUCGAACGGCAGCGCGGACUUCGGUCUGGCGGCGAGUGGCGAACGGGUGAGUAAUGUAUCGGAACGUGCCCAGUAGCGGGGGAUAACUACGCGAAAGCGUAGCUAAUACCGCAUACGCCCUACGGGGGAAAGCCGGGGAUCGUAAGACCUUGCACUAUUUGAGCGGCCGAUAUCGGAUUAGCUAGUUGGUGAGGUAACGGCUCACCAAGGCGACGAUCCGUAGCUGGUUUGAGAGGCCGACCAGCCACACUGGGACUGAGACACGGCCCAGACUCCUACGGGAGGCAGCAGUGGGGAAUUUUGGACAAUGGGGGCAACCCUGAUCCAGCCAUCCCGCGUGUGCGAUGAAGGCCUUCGGGUUGUAAAGCACUUUUGGCAGGAAAGAAACGUCGCGGGCUAAUACCCCGUGGAACUGACGGUACCUGCAGAAUAAGCACCGGCUAACUACGUG